GCGACGCGGAGGGGGCGGAGUCUUUCGAUGCUGCAGGUGAGAGGGAACGCCCACCCUCACUCUCGUACCCGGAAGUCUCCUCCUCCUCCGUGCUGCUGCCGAAGCCUGGUUCAGAUGCUGUGAGGAAAAAAAGACAUAAACAAGCCCGGAAGACUCUCAGAAGCUGUGCCGGACGUGCUGGGCCCCUCCUGUCCAGAAGGGACCCAAGAGGUCGAUGGAUGCGUUGCCGUUGAGCUACACGAGGCCUGGCUGCUUUGAGAGAGCCAUUCGAUGGAAAAGUGACCCUUCAUCUCCACGGAUAUGUCCAAAUUCAGCAAAGAACGGAAAAUAUCCAGCAAUCUUCGUUUUUUUAAAGGGCACGGUGGCUGAACACAACCAGCUGUGCUGUAUCCACACAUCAACAUCGCAUGACUGGAAAAUAAACACAGCAUGGACAUUUGCAUAUCAUUGAUACUCAGGUUUGUGAACACAACCGGCUUCAGAAAUUUUAUUCACAUCAAGAGUCAUUAGGUGAUUACAGUCUAAAAAGGCUGGGUUGUUUCAACCUUUGAUUGGGUAAAUAUUGGACAGAACCAAGUAAAUAAAUAAAUAAACCUAUGCUGGGUUGUUUCAACAUUCCAUGGAACCAGGAUAGGUUUACUUAUAACCCAACAGUUGGUUUAGUCCAACACUGUAAAAAGUGAAAAGUUGGAUUACCUCAUUAUUUCAACUUAUUUGUUUAAGUUUAAAAUACUUUAAGUGAAAAAUUGAAGUGGAAAAAAACUACAAAUUUUUACCAAUUGAAGUAAUUUUUUCUGUCAGUAUUUACCCAACCAUAAGUUAAACCAACCCAGAGUGUGUAAAAUAUGGACAAACCCAAACAAUGGUUUAAUUUAACCUAUGUUGGGUUGUUUCAACCCAUGGUUGGGUCACAUAUGGAAUUUUUUUUAGGUUUGUUUAACCCAAUUUGUUAAUAUUACAACCAACCAUGGGCCAACACAACUAGGUUCAGUAACUUUAUUCCCUAAAAUGACAAGAGUCAUUUGGUGCUUGUACAUGCAAAACAUCUGGUUUGUUUCAACCUUAUUUGGUGGUUUAACCCACAGUUGGGUAAGUAUUGGACAGAACCAAGCAUUGGGUUAAACCAACCCAAUAUUUUUAAAGUGCAAGACAAACCCAACCAUAUUAACUUAUGCUGGGCUGUUUCAACCCAUGGUUGGAUCCAAUAUGGACAUUUUCUAGGUAUAUUUAACUCAAUGGUUGGGUGUGUCUAUAUUUUACUUAACCAUUGGCCAACACAACUGGGUUUAGAAACUUAUUUCCCUAAAAUGACAAGAGUCAUUUUGUGCUUGUACAUGCUAAAAGAAUCUGGGUUGUUUCAACCCAUCGUUUGGUCAAAUAUGUGCAUUUUCUAGGUUUAUGUAACCCAAUUGUUAGGUUUGUUAAUAUUACACCCAACCAUGGGCCAACACAACUGGGUUUAGAAAAUUUAAUUCCUAGUGUUUGUAGUAAAAAGGCAUGUUUUUCAACAUUAAAUGGUUGUUUAACCCACAGUUGGGUAAAUAUUGGACAAAACCAAGCGUUGGGUUAUAAAUAAACCUAUGCUGGGGUUUUUAACCCAAAUGCUAAGUUGUUUCAUCCCAUGGUUGGGUAACAACAACCCAGUAUAGGUUUACUUAUAACGCAACAGUUGGUUCUAUCCCAUAUUUACCCAACAAUAGGUUAAACCAACCCACAUAUUUUAGAGUGCAUGUAAGAUAUAGACAAACCCAACCAUUGGUUCAUAUUAACUUAUGCUGGGUUGUUCCAUAUAGUUGUAUUUAACUCAAUGGUUGGGUUUGUCUAUAUUUUACUUAACCAUGGGCCAACACAAUCUGAGAAACUUUAUUCCCUAAAAUGACAAGUGUCAUUUUGUGCUUGUACACGAAAAAAAAAUCUGGGUUUUUUCAACCUUAUUUGGUGGUUUAACCCACAGUUGGGUAAGUAUUGGACAGAACCAAGCAUUGGGUAAUAAAUAAACCUAUGCUGGGGUUUUUUAACCCAAAUGCUGAGUUGUUUCAUCCCAUGGCCAGGUAAUAACACCCCAGCAUAGGUCUACUUAUAACCCAACAGUUGGUUCUAUCCCAUAUUUACUCAACCAUUGGUUAAACCAACCCAAUAUUUUUAAAUUGCAAGACAAACCCAACCAUAUUAACUUCAUAAUUCAUAUUAACUUAUGCUGGGUUGUUUCAACCCAUGGUUGGAUU
Molecule: non-coding RNA, 2225 nt
Organism: Misgurnus anguillicaudatus (oriental weatherfish)
Lineage: Eukaryota; Metazoa; Chordata; Actinopteri; Cypriniformes; Cobitidae
Source: RefSeq, a predicted model, not a curated record